This 460-nucleotide ribosomal RNA is filed under the name uncultured bacterium. Its description in RNAcentral is "partial 16S ribosomal RNA". It matches the Rfam family "Bacterial small subunit ribosomal RNA", at positions 338 to 795 of the family's 1533-position model. The record is from RNAcentral.
CCUACGGGAGGCAGCAGUGAGGAAUAUUGGUCAAUGGACGAGAGUCUGAACCAGCCAAGUAGCGUGAAGGAUGACUGCCCUAUGGGUUGUAAACUUCUUUUAUAUGGGAAUAAAAUGUUCCACGUGUGGGAUUUUGUAUGUACCAUCUGAAUAAGGAUCGGCUAACUCCGUGCCAGCAGCCGCGGUAAUACGGAGGAUCCGAGCGUUAUCCGGAUUUAUUGGGUUUAAAGGGAGCGUAGGUGGAUUGUUAAGUCAGUUGUGAAAGUUUGCGGCUCAACCGUAAAAUUGCAGUUGAAACUGGCAGUCUUGAGUACAGUAGAGGUAGGCGGAAUUCGUGGUGUAGCGGUGAAAUGCUUAGAUAUCACGAAGAACUCCGAUUGCGAAGGCAGUUCACUGGACUGCAACUGACACUGAGGCUCGAAAGUGUGGGUAUCAAACAGGAUUAGAUACCCUAGUAGUC